This 575-nucleotide ribosomal RNA is filed under the name Lactobacillus sp. IL3. RNAcentral describes it as "bacterial SSU rRNA". It matches the Rfam family "Bacterial small subunit ribosomal RNA", at positions 539 to 1113 of the family's 1533-position model. The record is from RNAcentral. Lineage: Bacteria; Bacillati; Bacillota; Bacilli; Lactobacillales; Lactobacillaceae.
CGUUGUCCGGNUUAUUGGGCGUAAAGCGAGCGCAGGCGGUUUCUUAAGUCUGAUGUGAAAGCCUUCGGCUCAACCGAAGAAGUGCAUCGGAAACUGGGGAACUUGAGUGCAGAAGAGGACAGUGGAACUCCAUGUGUAGCGGUGAAAUGCGUAGAUAUAUGGAAGAACACCAGUGGCGAAGGCGGCUGUCUGGUCUGUAACUGACGCUGAGGCUCGAAAGCAUGGGUAGCAAACAGGAUUAGAUACCCUGGUAGUCCAUGCCGUAAACGAUGAGUGCUAGGUGUUGGAGGGUUUCCGCCCUUCAGUGCCGCAGCUAACGCAUUAAGCACUCCGCCUGGGGAGUACGACCGCAAGGUUGAAACUCAAAGGAAUUGACGGGGGCCCGCACAAGCGGUGGAGCAUGUGGUUUAAUUCGAAGCAACGCGAAGAACCUUACCAGGUCUUGACAUCCUUUGACCACUCUAGAGAUAGAGCUUUCCCUUCGGGGACAAAGUGACAGGUGGUGCAUGGUUGUCNUCAGCUCGUGUCGUGAGAUGUUGGGUUAAGUCCCGCAACGAGCGCAACCCUUAUUACUA